AUUGAACGCUGGCGGCAAGCCUAACACAUGCAAGUCGAACGAGUGGCGGACGGGUGAGUAAUGUCUGGGAAACUGCCUGAUGGAGGGGGAUAACUACUGGAAACGGUCGCUAAUACCGCAUACCAUCGGAUGUGCCCAGAUGGGAUUAGCUAGUAGGUGGGGUAAAGGCUCACCUAGGCGACGAUCCCUAGCUGGUCUGAGAGGAUGACCAGCCACACUGGAACUGAGACACGGUCCAGACUCCUACGGGAGGUAGCAGUGGGGAAUAUUUCACAAUGGGCGCAAGCCUGAUGCAGCCAUGCCGCGUGUAUGAAGAAGGCCUGCGGGUUGUAAAGUACUUUCAGCGGGGAGGCGUUACCCGAAGAAGAAGCCCCGGCUAACUCCGUGCCAGCCGCCGCGGGAAUUC
This 406-nucleotide ribosomal RNA is filed under the name uncultured bacterium. RNAcentral's name for it is "partial 16S ribosomal RNA". It matches the Rfam family "Bacterial small subunit ribosomal RNA", at positions 30 to 526 of the family's 1533-position model. The record is from RNAcentral.